UCGAGAAUCUUCCGCAAUGGGCGAAAGCCUGACGGAGCGACACCGCGUGCAGGAUGAAGGCCUUCGGGUCGUAAACUGCUGUCACGCUAUAGGAAUAAGUCUUCGGACUCUGACCAAAGCGAAAGGAAGCACCGGCUAACUCCGUGCCAGCAGCCGCGGUAAGACGGAGGGUGCAAACGUUACUCGGAAUCACUGGGCAUAAAGCGCACGUAGGCGGCUCCCUAAGUCUGAUGUGAAAUACCCCGGCUCAACCGAGGAAUUGCAUCGGAUACUGGGGAGCUCGAGAAAGGUUGGGGUGAGUGGAACUCCAGGUGGAGCGGUGAAAUGCGUAGAUAUCUGGAGGAACACCGAUGGCGAAGGCAGCCCCCUGGGCUAACACUGACGCUCAUGCACGAAAGCGUGGGGAGCAAACAGGAUUAGAUACCCGGUAGUCCCUGAGCGGGCUGGCAAGGCGCAU
RNAcentral lists this ribosomal RNA (457 nucleotides) under uncultured bacterium. RNAcentral describes it as "bacterial SSU rRNA". It matches the Rfam family "Bacterial small subunit ribosomal RNA", at positions 355 to 825 of the family's 1533-position model. The record is from RNAcentral.